UUCCUAAAGAAAUUAUUAUAGGUAUAGCCUGCUCAAUGUUAAUAUUAAAAGCCGCAGAAAAUUUACUGUGCUAAGGUAGCAUAAUCAUUAGUCUUUUAAUUUAGGACUAGAAUGAAAGGCCUAACAUUUCAAUUACUUUUUUAAUUUUAUUAAUACUUAAAUUAUUCUAAAUAUAAAAAAAUAUUUAAAAAUUAAUAAGACGAUAAGACCCUAUUAAACUUCACUUUAGUUUAGCUGGGGUAGCAUUAUAAUAAUAACUUUAAUUAUAAAAUUUAAAUAAAUAACAAAUUUUUUUAAUAAACAAGUUACUAUAGGGAUAACAGCGUUAUCUUAUUUUUAAGUUCUUAUUUUAAAUAAAGAUUGCGACCUCGAUGUUGAAUAAUUUUUCUUAUAAAUGUACACGUUUAUAAAGUAAGUCUGUUCGACUUUUAAAAAAUUACA
This 441-nucleotide ribosomal RNA is filed under the name Tupua sp. CG299. Its description in RNAcentral is "partial 16S ribosomal RNA". It matches the Rfam family "Bacterial large subunit ribosomal RNA", at positions 1831 to 2600 of the family's 2925-position model. The record is from RNAcentral. Lineage: Eukaryota; Metazoa; Arthropoda; Arachnida; Araneae; Synotaxidae.